ACAUCCUCACACAUUGUGGACGACAACCGGUUAUCGUAUUACUGUCGACUCUCUCAAUAAGGCCGAUCAUGGGAGUGUAGGGGAGGAUAUUUCUAACAAUUAGCAUACCUCCACGAACAAGCUCGAUGUGCAUUUAUGGCGUUUUGAACUGAACUCUCGCAAUAGGGCUGCUAAAAGAUCAUAUAAUAGCUACGUUAUUUUCUUCCAAUAUUUUACUUUUGUCGCCGGCUCUAUUAAGUCGUUGAAUAAAAAAUUCCGAAAAAUUCUAUCAGGUCCGGCGGAUAGAGUGACGGAAAAUAAUUGACAGGUAUUUUUUCUUUCUGAAAUUCAACGUUUAUUAACAAAGAUAUAGCCAGUUGAAUUUGCGUGACGUCAUAAUAUUGACAUUAUAGUAUAACUAUAUCUAUGCACAUUGUGACGUCACACGUCAAUUUCAAACUACUGUACCCAUGCUAAUAAACGUUUAAUUGAAAAAAGGAAAAAUACAUGUCAAUUAUUUUUCGACGUUUUAUCCGACGGUCCUAAUGGAAUUUUUGAUUCAACUAUCUGAAAUAGUAGGGGAAGCUGCUGAGCUCUCUUAAGGGGGGAACCCAGUUUAGACCGAUCGAAAAAUCGUCUUUUUUUUAUUGCAUGAAUCGUUAGUAUAACUAUUCAAGAAUAUGUGGUUAAAAUUUCAAAGCAAAAUUCCCAUUAGUUCGAAUGCAAUGAGCACUUAAGUGACCGCCCGUCGGUUCUGUGAAGAAGCGCACGGUAAUUAUAACGGAGCGGUCGCCCAGGCCCUUCUUUUCCAGCUACCUGCCUCAAUACCGCUGUGCUAUUGAAUAAUAGAAUGACGCAUAUGAGCAAGUAGAGGGAUUGCUAUAUGGCGCUGGAAUAGCUGAUUAACCGAUAAAAAUUGCGACGUCAGGGAUCUACGCAAGCCAAAUGCUCGGAUGGCAAUCGCCCAUGGACUGCACGCGGUAACUCCACUAUUU
RNAcentral lists this long non-coding RNA (974 nucleotides) under Neodiprion lecontei (redheaded pine sawfly). RNAcentral's name for it is "uncharacterized LOC124293533". Lineage: Eukaryota; Metazoa; Arthropoda; Insecta; Hymenoptera; Diprionidae. The record is from RNAcentral.